GGAACCUGCGGAAGGAUCAUUGA
Molecule: ribosomal RNA, 23 nt
Filed under: Lophophytum mirabile subsp. mirabile
Lineage: Eukaryota; Viridiplantae; Streptophyta; Magnoliopsida; Santalales; Balanophoraceae
Description: partial 18S ribosomal RNA
Source: RNAcentral